RNAcentral lists this transfer RNA (85 nucleotides) under Felis catus (domestic cat). It matches the Rfam family "tRNA". Rfam says of the family: Transfer RNA (tRNA) molecules are approximately 80 nucleotides in length. Lineage: Eukaryota; Metazoa; Chordata; Mammalia; Carnivora; Felidae. The record is from Rfam by way of RNAcentral.
GCCUGGGGGGCUUAGUCGGUUAAGCGUCCGACUUCGGCUCAGGUCAUGAUCUCGCAGUUUGUGGGUUCAAGCCCCACGUCGGGCA